Molecule: ribosomal RNA, 483 nt
Filed under: uncultured bacterium
Lineage: Bacteria
Description: partial 16S ribosomal RNA
Rfam family: Bacterial small subunit ribosomal RNA
Source: RNAcentral
GACGAACGCUGGCGGCGUGCUUAACACAUGCAAGUCGAACGAUGAAGCUGGAGCUUGCUCCGGUGGAUUAGUGGCGAACGGGUGAGUAACACGUGAGCAAUCUGCCCUUGACUCUGGGAUAACUGCGGGAAACUGUAGCUAAUACCGGAUACGAGACCUGAAGGCAUCUUCGGGUCUGGAAAGAAUUUCGGUCAAGGAUGAGCUCGCGGCCUAUCAGCUUGUUGGUGAGGUAAUGGCUCACCAAGGCGACGACGGGUAGCCGGCCUGAGAGGGUGACCGGCCACACUGGGACUGAGACACGGACCAGACUGCUACGGGAGGCAGCAGUGGGGAAUAUUGCACAAUGGGCGAAAGCCUGAUGCAGCAACGCCGCGUGAGGGAUGAAGGCCUUCGGGUUGUAAACCUCUUUUAGCAGGGAAGAAGCGAAAGUGACGGUACCUGCAGAAAAAGCACCGGCUAACUACGUGCCAGCCGCCGCGGUAA